Molecule: ribosomal RNA, 253 nt
Filed under: uncultured bacterium
Lineage: Bacteria
Description: partial 16S ribosomal RNA
Rfam family: Bacterial small subunit ribosomal RNA
Source: RNAcentral
UACAGAGGGGGCAAGCGUUGUUCGGAAUCACUGGGCGUAAAGCGCACGUAGGCGGAUCUUUAAGUCAGAGGUGAAAUCCCAAGGCUCAACCUUGGAACUGCCUUUGAUACUGGAGAUCUUGAGUCCGGGAGAGGUGAGUGGAACUGCGAGUGUAGAGGUGAAAUUCGUAGAUAUUCGCAAGAACACCAGUGGCGAAGGCGGCUCACUGGCCCGGUACUGACGCUGAGGUGCGAAAGCGUGGGGAGCAAACAGG